This 1824-nucleotide long non-coding RNA is filed under the name Meleagris gallopavo (turkey). Its description in RNAcentral is "lncRNA (ENSMGAG00000021949.1)". Lineage: Eukaryota; Metazoa; Chordata; Aves; Galliformes; Phasianidae. The record is from RNAcentral.
CGGAAGCGGCGGCGGGAGUGGGCGGGGCUACCCAGAGUGCAGCGCGGCACUUCCGCUCCCGCGGGAGGCACAGGGAGCAGAGCGCCCCCUCGUGCUUGGAGGUCCAGAGGAGAGGCGUUUGAGCCGAAUGCGCAUGCGCACAGCUGCGGGCACCUGAAUGCGUGUUCACGCGCGCGUGCAUGCGGGUGUACAAGGUCACGGGCAGCCCUGCACAGACACGUGCACGCUUCCUGCACUUGUGCGCCUUUACACACACACCGGCAAGCUUCCGUGCAUACAUGAACGUUUGUAUGCAUACUUCCAUAGCGGGAGGAGAGCUGGUGUUUAAUGACAUCCUUCAUCCUCUGAAUAAGGAGCGUGCUGAAUCAUCCCAUCUGCAGGCACACUUCUGCGGGGCUGCUGGCGGGUGGGGAUGGGGGUAGAGAUAGGGAUGGGGAUGGGGAUGGGGAUGGAAUAAGGAGGGGAAUGAGAAUGGGAUGGGGGUAGAAAGAGGAUGGAGUGGGAUGGGAUGAGGAUAGGAUGAGGAUGGGGAUGAGAAUGGAUGAGGAUGGGAUGGGAAUGGGGAUGAGAAUGGGAUGAGGAUGGGAUGGGAAUGGGAAGGGGAUGAGCGCAGGGAUGGGGAUGGGAUGGAAAUGGGCAUGGGAAUGGGCACAGGGCACAGAGCACCAACUUUCCCUCCCCAAGCCAUGCUCUGAGUUUGGGCUCAGAGCUUUCCCCCUGUUUUUCCUGUUUUCUUGGGCUGCAGAGAGCUCUCAGCCAUGCACUGAGAGACCCAAAGGGAAACCAAAAAUUUCCUAACUCGUGUCUUUUUCAUCCAAGUUGACACAUCGGAGAAGUGCCCAUCUGUGGGUUCAUCCUUCUCCAUGGGUGCGUGCAGGUGGUCUCCUGGGUACUGCAGAAACAUUGGGGGAUGCUCAGCCACAGCAGGACCAGGGUGAUAACCCAGAGGCUUUGCAGCUCCUCGGGACAGUUUUAUCCUGAAAACAGAAGAACCACAGCUCGGUGGUUCCCACAGCAUUGCCACGCACCAUGGGGACAGCAGAUCUGCACCGACCUGUUUGCAAGCAGUGAAGAGGAGCAAAAUUCUUUCCCCGUCACACAUUAAACCUUUCUUGGAGAAGUGCAAUUACCACUGAAAAACCAAGCAAAGCAAUGGCUGGGAGCAGUGCUUAUUUCUAAUAACAGCUUGGCGCAAUCUGCACACAUUUUUCAGGCACCGUUUGCCUUUCCCUGCCAAGGGCCCUGCACACACAUUCUGCUCUCUGAAGAUUUCUGCCUGGGCUCCGAAGCUCCGUGUGCAGAGACUGAAGGAGAACCGGAAAUUUUGGAGUAAUGGAAAAUAGCUCGCUGGGUAUUUGAAGGAGUCGGAUGCCUGUGAUAAACAGUGCUGCCUGAGCUUCUCUCUUGCAGAGGUAAUAAAAGGGAUGCCAAUAGCAAGGCCUGGGAGGUGGUGUGGUGUCAGCUCAGUGCUGUGCUGUGUGCGCUGCUGGGGCUGUCUGUUUUCUGCUUUAAAGAGGGGCAAGCUGAGCAAGGAAGGGCUGCACCCACACUGUGCAGAGGGAUGUGUGAGCUGAGCCCCAUCCGAAGCAACUCCUGCAUGAGCGUCUGAACUUUUGCAAUUUUCUUACAACAUUUUGCAAAAUCUUGUGGUGUUUUUUACAAGUGCUGUGUGCUGAAAUAAGACUGUGCCACCCAAACACAAGCCACUUUGCUGCUGCAGCAAUGUUAGUUUUUGUGCACAGCCUCAUUCCAGCUCAGUGACACCGCGGCACACCUGCUGUGCUCUCAGCCCCUGGAACUCUGCUGAGGACAGGGUGUGAUUUU